RNAcentral lists this ribosomal RNA (135 nucleotides) under uncultured soil bacterium. RNAcentral's name for it is "partial 16S ribosomal RNA". It matches the Rfam family "Bacterial small subunit ribosomal RNA", at positions 355 to 492 of the family's 1533-position model. The record is from RNAcentral.
UAGGGAAUCUUCGGCAAUGGGCGAAAGCCUGACCGAGCAACGCCGCGUGAGCGAUGAAGGCCUUCGGCUCGUAAAGCUCUGUUGUUAAGGAAGAACAAGGACGAGAGUAACUGCUCGUACCAUGACGUACUAGCA